This 161-nucleotide ribosomal RNA is filed under the name uncultured soil bacterium. RNAcentral's name for it is "partial 16S ribosomal RNA". It matches the Rfam family "Bacterial small subunit ribosomal RNA", at positions 355 to 507 of the family's 1533-position model. The record is from RNAcentral.
UCGAGAGGCUUCGGCAAUGGGGGAAACCCUGACCGGGCGACGCCGCGUGAGGGAUGAAGGCCCUUGGGUUGUAAACCUCUUUUGUUCGGGAAGAAGUGCGAUCAGGUGAACAAUCUGGUCGAUUGACGGUACCGGACGAAUAAGCUCCGGCUAACUCCGUG